GGCGCCAUUUUGUGAGCGUCAGGGGUCUCAUGUCCCUCACAGUAUGGAAGCCGCGGCCUCAUUCCACUCCCGCCCGCAGAUUUCUUCUCUGAUUUCAAAGGACAGCAUGACCACCAAACUCCUGAACUGGAAAUUCCCAUGGUCAGUGGAGGAAAAAUCUAGCAACUGAUGCAUGAGGACCCACAGCCUGGCAAGUUCUCUUUGUAUCCUAUCAUGUGAAUAGAAGCCAAGGAAGGUAGGUUUAUUUAAAUUUUAUGGGACUGAUUUAAAUUGUUAGAUAAGGUACCUGGAGGCC
RNAcentral lists this long non-coding RNA (295 nucleotides) under Mustela putorius furo (domestic ferret). RNAcentral describes it as "lncRNA (ENSMPUG00000030680.1)". The record is from RNAcentral. Lineage: Eukaryota; Metazoa; Chordata; Mammalia; Carnivora; Mustelidae.